UAUUGAAGGAAUUGAUAUAUGC
Drosophila melanogaster (fruit fly) is the source of this 22-nucleotide non-coding RNA. The record is from Ensembl. Lineage: Eukaryota; Metazoa; Arthropoda; Insecta; Diptera; Drosophilidae.